RNAcentral lists this ribosomal RNA (1659 nucleotides) under uncultured Chlamydomonas. RNAcentral describes it as "partial Bacterial large subunit ribosomal RNA". It matches the Rfam family "Bacterial large subunit ribosomal RNA", at positions 371 to 1964 of the family's 2925-position model. Lineage: Eukaryota; Viridiplantae; Chlorophyta; Chlorophyceae; Chlamydomonadales; Chlamydomonadaceae. The record is from RNAcentral.
UCCCGUAGUUAAAAUGUAUUUAAAAGAUAAAAGUCUUAUCCCGAGUAGCAUGGGGCACGUGGAAUCCCGUGUGAAUCAGCGAGGACCACCUCGUAAGGCUAAAUACUCCUGGGUGACCGAUAGUGAAAUAGUACCGUGAGGGAAAGGUGAAAAGAACCCCCGUAGGGGAGUGAAAUAGAACAUGAAACCGUAUGCUGACAAGCAGUGGGAGGAUUUAAAAUCUGACCGCGUGCCUGUUGAAGAAUGAGCCGGCGACUUAGAGGAAGUGGCAUUAGGUUAAGGAGUUAUAUCCGGAGCCAACGCGAAAGCGAGUCUGAAUAGGGCGUUAAGUCAUUUUCUCUGGACCCGAACCCGGGUGAUCUAACCAUGACCAGGAUGAAGCUUGGGUAACACUAAGUGGAGGUCCGGACCGACCGAUGUUGAAAAAUCGGCGGAUGAGUUGUGGUUAUGCGGAGAAAUUCCAAUCGAACUCGGAGCUAGCUGGAUCUCCCCGAAAUGCGUUGAGGCGCAGCGGCAACGAUGAGCUGUCAUGGGGUAAAGAUACUGUUUCGAUGCGGGCUGCGAAAGCGGUACCAAGUCGUGGCAAACUCAGAAUACAUGGUAUGUCUACCGUUAGCCAGUGAGACUAUGGGAGAGAAGUUCCGUAGUCAAGAGGGAAACAGCCCAGAUCACCAGCUAAGGCCCCUAAAUGGUCACUAAGUGGAAAAGGAUGUGAGAAUGCUGAAACAACCAGGAGGUUUGCUUAGAAGCAGCCACCCUUGAAAGAGUGCGUAAUAGCUCACUGGUAAAGCGUUUUUGCGCCGAUAAUGGCCGGGACUAAGUGACCUGCCGAAGCUGUGAGAUUUUUCUUCUCUUUUCUCUCUUUCCUUCUCCCGAAAGGGACAAGGAAUUUGAAAAAGCAGAGAGAAAUCGGUAGGGGAGCGUUCCGUUUUUGGGUGAAGUUUUCAUGGAAAUGUGAAUGGACAAAACGGAAGUGAGAAUGUCGGCUUGAGUAACGAAAACAUUGGUGUGAAUCCAAUGCCCCGAAAACCGUUGGGUUCCUCCACUAGGUUCGUCCAUGGGGGGUGAGUCAGGUCCUAAGAUUAGGCCGAAAGGCGUCGUCGAUGGCAAACAGGUUAAUAUUCCUGUACUGAUUCUAUUGGGAACCAAGUGACGGAGAAGGCUAAACUAGAACUGCUACUGGAUUUCAGUGGAAGCGUUAAGGUGUUGAGAGUUAGAAGAGAAACUAUACUUGAGCUAAGACGUGAUCCCUAUUCUUAUGCAAAUAAGGGUAGCUAGUGAUGUCACACUUCCUAGAAAAGCUUGAACACCAUUAACAAUAGAAUCACCUGUACCUGAAACCGACACAGGUAGGUUGGUAGAGAAUACUAAGGGGCGCGAGAGAACUCUCUCUAAGGAACUCGGCAAACUGGCCCCGUAACUUCGGAAGAAGGGGCACCCCGUAACAAGGGUCGCAGUGACCAGGCCCAGGCAACUGUUUAUCAAAAACACAGGUCUCCGCAAAGUCGAAAGACAAUAUAUGGGGGCUGACGCCUGCCCAGUGCUGGAAGGUUAAGGAAGUUGGUUAUUUUUUUUUCCUUACGGACAAUAAAGAAGAAGCUGACGACCGAAGCCCCAGUGAACGGCGGUCGUAACAAUAACGAUCCUAAGGUAGCGAAA